AAUGCUACCUGGCUGAUCCUGCCAUCAGUCAUAUGCU
Molecule: ribosomal RNA, 37 nt
Filed under: Ulex australis
Lineage: Eukaryota; Viridiplantae; Streptophyta; Magnoliopsida; Fabales; Fabaceae
Description: partial 18S ribosomal RNA
Source: RNAcentral